UUGCCUUAAACUAAUGAGUAAGGAAAACAAAGCAAACAGUGGGAGCUGUUUGCUGCAUCUAUCAUUAUGAUGCAAUAAUUUUUGGAGGGGUUAUAGGCUGGUCGUGUGUUGACGCUGUUACUUUGCAGAACUCACACGUGCGGGCCUCCCAACCC
Small nuclear RNA from Lathyrus oleraceus (garden pea), 155 nucleotides. RefSeq annotates it as U12 minor spliceosomal RNA. The transcript has a single exon. Lineage: Eukaryota; Viridiplantae; Streptophyta; Magnoliopsida; Fabales; Fabaceae. The record is from RefSeq and is a predicted model, not a curated record.